Molecule: ribosomal RNA, 366 nt
Filed under: Triticum aestivum (bread wheat)
Lineage: Eukaryota; Viridiplantae; Streptophyta; Magnoliopsida; Poales; Poaceae
Description: partial small subunit ribosomal RNA
Source: RNAcentral
AUGAGUACACUUUGCUAGAAUUGUCGCGGAACGGGCAAACCGGCGACAAUUCGAGAACUUCGCGACUUCGCGAGGAAGUUUGCCCCUACCGUGCUUUGCAUUGUUGAAACACAAAUUAGUGGUGCAUGUGUAGAAGCUCUAGCAAGUACUCUAGGUUAUGAUAAAUCUUAUGUUGUCAGUAGUCAAGGGAGAAGUGGUGGAAUUGGUAUUUUUUGGAAUAAUAUAAGCAAUGUUGAGAUUUUGGGUGAUUCUUUCUAUCAUAUUGAUGCAAAAGUGCAUGUGGGACAAGAUCCUUGGAGGCUCACAGUCAUUUACCGGGAAGCACAAACUCAAAGUAGGCAUCAAACUUGGGAUGUGAUGAAGUGA